GAUGAACGCUGGCGGCGUGCCUAAUACAUGCAAGUCGAACGCAUAGCGAAAGGUGCUUGCACCUUUCAAGUGAGUGGCGAACGGGUGAGUAACACGUGGACAACCUGCCUCAAGGCUGGGGAUAACAUUUGGAAACAGAUGCUAAUACCGAAUAAAACUUAGUGUCGCAUGACACAAAGUUAAAAGGCGCUUCGGCGUCACCUAGAGAUGGAUCCGCGGUGCAUUAGUUAGUUGGUGGGGUAAAGGCCUACCAAGACAAUGAUGCAUAGCCGAGUUGAGAGACUGAUCGGCCACAUUGGGACUGAGACACGGCCCAAACUCCUACGGGAGGCUGCAGUAGGGAAUCUUCCACAAUGGGCGAAAGCCUGAUGGAGCAACGCCGCGUGUGUGAUGAAGGCUUUCGGGUCGUAAAGCACUGUUGUAUGGGAAGAACAGCUAGAAUAGGAAAUGAUUUUAGUUCGACGGUACCAGACCAGAAAGGGACGGCUAAAUACGUG
RNAcentral lists this ribosomal RNA (497 nucleotides) under uncultured bacterium. RNAcentral describes it as "partial 16S ribosomal RNA". It matches the Rfam family "Bacterial small subunit ribosomal RNA", at positions 28 to 507 of the family's 1533-position model. The record is from RNAcentral.